Molecule: ribosomal RNA, 497 nt
Filed under: uncultured bacterium
Lineage: Bacteria
Description: partial 16S ribosomal RNA
Rfam family: Bacterial small subunit ribosomal RNA
Source: RNAcentral
GAUGAACGCUGGCGGCGUGCCUAAUACAUGCAAGUCGAGCGAACAGACGAGGAGCUUGCUCCUUUGACGUUAGCGGCGGACGGGUGAGUAACACGUAGGUAACCUACCUAUAAGACUGGGAUAACUUCGGGAAACCAGAGCUAAUACCGGAUAAUAUUUCGAACCGCAUGGUUCGAUAGUGAAAGAUGGCUUUGCUAUCACUUAUAGAUGGACCUGCGCCGUAUUAGCUAGUUGGUAAGGUAACGGCUUACCAAGGCAACGAUACGUAGCCGACCUGAGAGGGUGAUCGGCCACACUGGAACUGAGACACGGUCCAGACUCCUACGGGAGGCAGCAGUAGGGAAUCUUCCGCAAUGGGCGAAAGCCUGACGGAGCAACGCCGCGUGAGUGAUGAAGGUCUUCGGAUCGUAAAACUCUGUUAUUAGGGAAGAACAAACGUGUAAGUAACUGUGCACGUCUUGACGGUACCUAAUCAGAAAGCCACGGCUAACUACGUG